Molecule: unclassified non-coding RNA, 918 nt
Filed under: Daphnia magna
Lineage: Eukaryota; Metazoa; Arthropoda; Branchiopoda; Diplostraca; Daphniidae
Description: uncharacterized LOC116920347, transcript variant X1
Source: RNAcentral
UGUAGAAUCUUGCCGGUAUCAAUUCUAAUUGAACAGUUGUGGGUCGAAGAUGAGUCUUGAUUCAAAUCGUAAGAUUAAAUAGCUUUUAGUACUGGUUUGUUUUUCCAAUUAGAAGUCAUGUGAAAGUAUUUAAGAAUGUAAGCUAUCAUAGAUUUGCCGGAGUUCGUGAUUGAACAUAUCUAGACUUCAAGAGUGUUUCUGGAUUUUUUCGUGUUUCGUCGUCUGGUGCUUCGUUGUUGCUGCAAGGAUUCGAAUCGUGGUCUUUCCAGGGUUUGCCGGCGUUGCUUUGUCGUGUACAGUUCGUGACGCUGUUUCAAACUGGGUUGGGGCAGUCUGUGGUUUUGAGGUGGAUUCCGUACCUUAGGUGUUGACUUGGUGGGUUUGCCGUUCGUCGUGUUGGAAAUGUGGCAUUCGAGUGGCGCUGUGUCGCUGUUCUAGCCUUGGAUCUGCUGUGGCGAUCAUCUGCAGACGUUUCCUUAUGGGUCUGGUGUCACGUUCACCGUGGGGUCGGAACGGCGUGUGGUGUUCUUAUCGAACUGUAUGCUUCCAGACUUCAGGUGUUCUGCUGGUGGGGUUGUCGAUUCAGUUUUUCGGCGUGUACGGAGUGCGGCAAUUACUUCAUGCCAUGCAGUUUCCCUUGCUGUUGUGGUGUAAUUCGCUUUUCUUUUCGCAUUUUGCUAUUCGGAUGAUUAACUCUUAUACCGCCCCAGACUGAAGGGUUGUGUUGAGUGGUAACACGCUGACCGUAGUUGCGUUCAUACGAAGUUUUUCCACUGUGUAUCGAAAUUAAUGGUGGUGUGUUUAAUUUUUCUUCAGGGUUUGCUGUGGCAAAUUGCUGUCGGCAUAUCGUCAUGGCGCCAUUAUGGGUAAUUUGUUUCAUGCUGCAAAUGCCUUGUGUUCCAGAAUUGCGACGUGGGG